RNAcentral lists this ribosomal RNA (204 nucleotides) under uncultured bacterium. RNAcentral describes it as "partial 16S ribosomal RNA". It matches the Rfam family "Bacterial small subunit ribosomal RNA", at positions 524 to 725 of the family's 1533-position model. The record is from RNAcentral.
UACGUAGGGUCCGAGCGUUGUCCGGAAUUACUGGGCGUAAAGAGCUCGUAGGUGGUUUGUCGCGUUGUUCGUGAAAACUCACAGCUUAACUGUGGGCGUGCGGGCGAUACGGGCAGGCUAGAGUUCGGUAGGGGAGACUGGAAUUCCUGGUGUAGCGGUGAAAUGCGCAGACUAGUCAGGAGGAACACCGAUGGCGAAGGCAGG